Molecule: unclassified non-coding RNA, 379 nt
Filed under: soil metagenome
Description: partial contains 5.8S ribosomal RNA, internal transcribed spacer 2, and large subunit ribosomal RNA
Rfam family: 5.8S ribosomal RNA (bases 1-120)
Source: RNAcentral
GAUGAAGAACGCAGCGAAAUGCGAUACGUAACGUGAAUUGCAGAAUUCAGUGAAUCAUCGAAUCUUUGAACGCACAUUGCACUCCUUGGUAUUCCGAGGAGUAUGCCUGUUUCAGUAUCAUGAGCACUCUCACAUCUAACCUUUGGGUUAAAAUGUGGAAUUGGGAUGCGCCGGUUAUUAUAACGGCCCUCCUAAAAUUCAGUUCUUGGCUGCUUCCUACUACAGCAGUUUGGCCUAAUAGUUUUGAGUCUUCGAUUCAAAUCUUUGGCUAACAUUUGCUUCAGGAUGUCAGUCUUGAUAUACAGAAAUCUCAUUCAAACUUUGAUCUGAAAUCAGGUAGGGCUACCCGCUGAACUUAAGCAUAUCAAUAAGCGGAGGA